This 419-nucleotide ribosomal RNA is filed under the name uncultured bacterium. RNAcentral's name for it is "bacterial SSU rRNA". It matches the Rfam family "Bacterial small subunit ribosomal RNA", at positions 357 to 774 of the family's 1533-position model. The record is from RNAcentral.
AGGAAUAUUGGUCAAUGGACGCAAGUCUGAACCAGCCAUGCCGCGUGAAGGAUGUAGGUCCUCUGGAUUGUAAACUUCUUUUAUCUGGGACGAAAACGGGAUUUUUAUCUCAAUUGACGGUACCAGAGGAAUAAGCACCGGCUAACUCCGUGCCAGCAGCCGCGGUAAUACGGAGGGUGCGAGCGUUAUCCGGAUUUACUGGGUUUAAAGGGUGCGUAGGUGGGCUUAUAAGUCAGUGGUGAAAUCUCCGAGCUUAACUUGGAAACGGCCGUUGAUACUAUAGGUCUUGAAUUAUCUGGAGGUAAGCGGAAUAUGUCAUGUAGCGGUGAAAUGCUUAGAUAUGACAUAGAACACCUGUUGCGAAGGCAGCUUACUACAUAUAAAUUGACGCUGAGGCACGAAAGCGUGGGGAUCAAACA